UUAACAUCUCUGCCUUUUGGCUAAGAUCAAGUGUAGUAUCGUUUUAAUAGCUUAUUACAGCCCUUUUAAAGACAUCCAAGUUGGUGGCAAUCACUACUUCUUGUGGAAGCGAAUUCUAACUAUGUGUUGUGUGAAGAAUUACUUCUGUCUUGAAUCUCCCACCACUGUUUCAUAAGAUGACCCCAG
Elgaria multicarinata webbii is the source of this 186-nucleotide small nuclear RNA. RefSeq annotates it as U2 spliceosomal RNA. The transcript has a single exon. NCBI's taxonomy places the organism in Eukaryota, Metazoa, Chordata, Lepidosauria, Squamata, Anguidae. The record is from RefSeq and is a predicted model, not a curated record.